CUGGACUGUAACUGACGCUGAGGCACGAAAGCGUGGGGAGCAAACAGGAGUAGAUACCCUGGUAGUCCACGCUGUAAACGAUGAGUACUAGGUGUCGGGGGUUACCCCCUUCGGUGCCGCAGCUAACGCAUUAAGUACUCCGCCUGGGAAGUACGCUCGCAAGAGGGAAACUCAAAGGAAUUGACGGGGACCCGCACAAGUAGCGGAGCAUGUGGUUUAAUUCGAAGCAACGCGAAGAACCUUACCUAAGCUUGACAUCCCAAUGACAUCUCCUUAAUCGGAGAGUUCCCUUCGGGGAC
RNAcentral lists this ribosomal RNA (299 nucleotides) under Clostridioides difficile. Its description in RNAcentral is "partial 16S ribosomal RNA". It matches the Rfam family "Bacterial small subunit ribosomal RNA", at positions 729 to 1027 of the family's 1533-position model. Lineage: Bacteria; Bacillati; Bacillota; Clostridia; Peptostreptococcales; Peptostreptococcaceae. The record is from RNAcentral.